CUGCCGCCGGCGACCGGCGCACGGGUGAGUAACACGUAUGCAACCUGGCCGUGACAGAUGGAUAACCGGGAGAAAUCCCGCCUAAUACAACAUAAUGCCGGGAGGGGACAUCCCCUGCCGGCCAAAGGGGGCGACCCCGGUCACGGAUGGGCAUGCGGCGCAUUAGGUAGUUGGUGGGGCAACGGCCCACCAAGCCGACGAUGCGUGGGGGUUCUGAGAGGAAGGUCCCCCACAUUGGAACUGAGACACGGUCCAAACUCCUACGGAAGGCAGCAG
Molecule: ribosomal RNA, 276 nt
Filed under: uncultured bacterium
Lineage: Bacteria
Description: partial 16S ribosomal RNA
Rfam family: Bacterial small subunit ribosomal RNA
Source: RNAcentral